This 902-nucleotide ribosomal RNA is filed under the name Truncatella hartigii. Its description in RNAcentral is "LSU rRNA". It matches the Rfam family "Eukaryotic large subunit ribosomal RNA", at positions 38 to 963 of the family's 3401-position model. The record is from RNAcentral. Lineage: Eukaryota; Fungi; Ascomycota; Sordariomycetes; Amphisphaeriales; Sporocadaceae.
GCAUAUCAAUAAGCGGAGGAAAAGAAACCAACAGGGAUUGCCUUAGUAACGGCGAAGUGAAGCGGCAAUAGCUCAAAUUUGAAAUCUGGCGCUUGCGUCCGAGUUGUAAUUUGCAGAGGAUGAUUUUGGUUAGGUACCUUCCGAGUUCCUUGGAACAGGACGCCUUAGAGGGUGAGAGCCCCGUACGGUUGGAUGCCGAGCCUUUGUAAAUCUCCUUCGACGAGUCGAGUAGUUUGGGAAUGCUGCUCUAAAUGGGAGGUAAAUUUCUUCUAAAGCUAAAUACCGGCCAGAGACCGAUAGCGCACAAGUAGAGUGAUCGAAAGAUGAAAAGCACUUUGAAAAGAGGGUUAAAUAGCACGUGAAAUUGUUGAAAGGGAAGGAUUUAUGACCAGACUUUUUCUAGGAGGAUCAUCCGGUGUUCUCACCGGUGCACUUCUUCUAGUCUAGGCCAGCAUCGACUUUCGGCGGUGGAUAAAAGCUUUGGGAAUGUGACUCCUUUCGGGGAGUGUUAUAGCCUAUUGUAUAAUACACUGCUGGGGGUCGAGGUACGCGCUUCUGCAAGGAUGCUGGCGUAAUGGUUAUCAAUCACCCGUCUUGAAACACGGACCAAGGAGUCGAACAUUUGUGCAAGUGUUUGGGUGUUAAACCCUCACGCGUAAUGAAAGUGAACGGAGGUGAGAGCCCUUACGGGUGCAUCAUCGACCGAUCCUGAUGUUUUCGGAUGGAUUUGAGUAAGAGCAUAACUGUUCGGACCCGAAAGAUGGUGAACUAUGCGUGGAUAGGGUGAAGCCAGAGGAAACUCUGGUGGAGGCUCGCAGCGGUUCUGACGUGCAAAUCGAUCGUCAAAUCUGCGCAUGGGGGGCGAAAGACUAAUCGAACCAUCUAGUAGCUGGUUACCGCGA